UACGUAGGGGGCAAGCGUUGUCCGGAAUCAUUGGGCGUAAAGAGCGCGUAGGCGGUCCGGUAAGUCAGCUGUGAAAGUCAGGGGCUCAACCCUUGAAAGCCGGUUGAUACUGUCGGGCUAGAGUCCGGAAGAGGCGAGUGGAAUUCCCGGUGUAGCGGUGAAAUGCGCAGAUAUCGGGAGGAACACCAAUGGCGAAGGCAGCUCUCUGGGACGGUACUGACGCUGAGACGCGAAAGCGUGGGGAGCGAACAGG
Molecule: ribosomal RNA, 253 nt
Filed under: uncultured bacterium
Lineage: Bacteria
Description: partial 16S ribosomal RNA
Rfam family: Bacterial small subunit ribosomal RNA
Source: RNAcentral